RNAcentral lists this long non-coding RNA (687 nucleotides) under Brachypodium distachyon (stiff brome). RNAcentral's name for it is "long non-coding RNA (BDIS_LNC001046)". Lineage: Eukaryota; Viridiplantae; Streptophyta; Magnoliopsida; Poales; Poaceae. The record is from RNAcentral.
CGGUUGUCGGCGGUUUGCGCUUCGGUGGCGGCUCAGGCUUUGGUUCGGGUUUGGGUUCUGGUUUAGGCAUCGGUUCAGGCUUGGGCUCGGGUUUUGGUUCAGGUUUAGGCAUGGGCUUAGGCAUGGGCUCAGGCUUUGGUUCUGGUUUAGGCAUUGGCUUAGGCUUGGGUUCGGGUUUUGGCUCUGGUUUGGGCAUUGGCUCAGGCUUGGGUUCUGGUUUAGGCAUGGGCUCAGGCUUUGGUUCCGGUUUAAUUGGCUCAGGCUUCGGUUCCGGCUUAGGCAUUGGCUCGGGCUUGGGCUCAGGUUUUGGCUCAGGUUUAGGCAUUGGCUCGGGUUUGGGCUCAGGUUUAGGCUCAGGUUUAGGCACUGGCUCAGGCUUAGGCUCGGGUUUAGGCUCAGGUUUAGGCACUGGCUUAGGCAUGGGCUCGGGUUUUGGUUCCGGUUUAGGCAUUGGCUCAGGUUUGGGCUCGGGUUUAGGCUCGGGUUUAGGCAUUGGCUUAGGCAUGGGCUCGGGUUUUGGUUCCGGUUUGGGCAUGGGCUCUGGUUUUGGCUCGGGUUUUGGCAUUGGCUUAGGCAUGGGCUCUGGUUUUGGUUCCGGUUUAGGCAUCGGCUCAGGUUUCGGCUCUGGUUUAGGCAUUGGUUUGGGCAUUGGUUCCGGCUUGGGCUCUGGCUUCGGCUCGGGCUUGG